UUGCUUGCUUCGUGGGAGCUUUGGAAUGAACUGAAUGGACAGUUCUUCAGGAAUGUACCUUCUAUGCCUAAAGUAGUUGAGCGCAAAAUCAAAGAUGAAUCAGCCUUGUGGGUUUUUGCUGGGGCAAAGCAUUUAAAAUUGAUCAUGCCACGAGAGUAG
Molecule: ribosomal RNA, 159 nt
Filed under: Triticum aestivum (bread wheat)
Lineage: Eukaryota; Viridiplantae; Streptophyta; Magnoliopsida; Poales; Poaceae
Description: partial small subunit ribosomal RNA
Source: RNAcentral